This 373-nucleotide ribosomal RNA is filed under the name uncultured Proteiniphilum sp. RNAcentral's name for it is "bacterial SSU rRNA". It matches the Rfam family "Bacterial small subunit ribosomal RNA", at positions 1010 to 1382 of the family's 1533-position model. The record is from RNAcentral. Lineage: Bacteria; Pseudomonadati; Bacteroidota; Bacteroidia; Bacteroidales; Dysgonomonadaceae.
AGUUUUCCCCUUCGGGGCAGAUGUGUAGGUGCUGCAUGGUUGUCGUCAGCUCGUGCCGUGAGGUGUCGGCUUAAGUGCCAUAACGAGCGCAACCCUCAUCAUUAGUUACCAUCAGGUAAGGCUGGGGACUCUAAUGAGACUGCCAUCGUAAGAUGUGAGGAAGGUGGGGAUGACGUCAAAUCAGCACGGCCCUUACGUCCGGGGCGACACACGUGUUACAAUGGGUGGUACAAAGGGCAGCUACCUGGCGACAGGAUGCUAAUCUCCAAAACCACUCUCAGUUCGGAUCGGAGUCUGCAACUCGACUCCGUGAAGCUGGAUUCGCUAGUAAUCGCGCAUCAGCCACGGCGCGGUGAAUACGUUCCCGGGCCUU